RNAcentral lists this unclassified non-coding RNA (256 nucleotides) under uncultured fungus. RNAcentral's name for it is "sequence contains ITS1, 5.8S rRNA gene". The stretch from base 208 to 256 matches the Rfam family "5.8S ribosomal RNA", at positions 1 to 49 of the family's 154-position model. Lineage: Eukaryota; Fungi. The record is from RNAcentral.
UCUCCGUAGGUGAACCUGCGGAGGGAUCAUUACUGAGUGAGGGUUUAACCGCCCGACCUCCAACCCUUUGUGAACUUACCUUUGUUGCCUCGGCGGGGCCUACCCGGUACCGACCCCUUUUGGGCGAAGUUACCCUGUAGCCCGCCGGUGGAUUUUCAAACUCUUGUUAUUUUAAUGUUAUCUGAGCGUCUUAUUUUAAUAAGUCAAAACUUUCAACAACGGAUCUCUUGGUUCUGGCAUCGAUGAAGAACGCAGC